GACGUAGGAUGCAAGCGUUGUCCGGAAUUAUUGGGCGUAAAGAGUUCGUAGGCGGUUGCCUAAGUCUGGUGUUAAAGCCCGAAGCUCAACUUCGGCAUGGCAUUGGAAACUGGGCGGCUAGAGUGCGGUAGAGGUCUCGGGAAUUCCAGGUGUAGCGGUGAAAUGCGUAGAUAUCUGGAGGAACACCGGUGGCGAAAGCGCGAGACUGGGCCGUAACUGACGCUGAGGAACGAAAGCCAGGGGAGCAAAAGGG
RNAcentral lists this ribosomal RNA (253 nucleotides) under uncultured bacterium. RNAcentral describes it as "partial 16S ribosomal RNA". It matches the Rfam family "Bacterial small subunit ribosomal RNA", at positions 524 to 776 of the family's 1533-position model. The record is from RNAcentral.